GUCGUUACCCAUGCCCUCAGCAACCAAACAGAAAUAGUCUGGGUGGCUCCCAUCCUGGGUGCCCAUGCUUGUUGCUUUGCCUUGGUGGAAGACCAACCCUGAGUCAUAUCUGGACACCUCCUGUUAUGGACUGCGUGUUUGCGUUCUCCUCCUUAAUUCAUACCCAGAAACCACAACCCCCGAUGGCACGACCCAGAAAGAUGACCUCUCUCUGCUAUGUGAAGAUACAAAGAAAAGCCGGCCGUCUGUACACCAGGAAGCAAGCCCUCCCCAGAACCUGGCUGUGGCAGCACCUGGAUCCUAGCCUCCAGCCUCCAGAACUGUGAGAGUCUGUCAGUGUGAGGACAAGGCCUUGAGCUCAAGGACUGGGAAGCCCACCAGGUGCUUGUGAAACCCCUCGAGAGCCACACUUGUCAACUUCAUGGGCUUGGUAAGCCUCGGUUAACAUCAAUUCCUCCAAAUCUCCAUGUCUCCUUCCUCUUGAGGAUUUCUCCAUCAGCGAUUCCCUCUGUCUUGGCCACUCUUCCCCCUCUCUGUGUCUCCUCAACCCAUCUGUUUCCCAGGUCUCAUUUCAUAUAAGCCACUUCCUCAGGGAGACUUUCCCCAAGCCUUCCUCUGUCCCCAUCUGAUCCCAUCUGUGUUUUGUGUGAUCUGAGGUCAUCAUUCCCUCCACCUUUCCCUCACAGCACUUUUCUCCAUUUGUAAAUGUCCUGGAUAUGUUUGCUCGAUCAUUUGAGUCAUGCCUGUUACGUGAAUAAGAUCAUAGUCAUAUUGUUCUCAACUUUAGUGUACUGAAGAGUCACAUGGUGCCAAUUAGAAU
Molecule: long non-coding RNA, 820 nt
Filed under: Papio anubis (olive baboon)
Lineage: Eukaryota; Metazoa; Chordata; Mammalia; Primates; Cercopithecidae
Description: lncRNA (ENSPANG00000049554.1)
Source: RNAcentral